RNAcentral lists this ribosomal RNA (468 nucleotides) under uncultured bacterium. Its description in RNAcentral is "partial 16S ribosomal RNA". It matches the Rfam family "Bacterial small subunit ribosomal RNA", at positions 28 to 507 of the family's 1533-position model. The record is from RNAcentral.
GACGAACGCUGGCGGCGCGCUUAACACAUGCAAGUCGAACGGAAAGGCCCUGCUUUUGUGGGGUGCUCGAGUGGCGAACGGGUGACUAACACGUGAGUAACCUGCCCUUGACUUUGGGGUAACUUCAGGAAACUGGAUCUAAUCCCGGAUAGGAGCUCCUGCCUCAUGGUGGGGGUUGGAAAGUUUCGGCGGUUGGGGAUGGACUCGCGUCGUAUCAGCUUGUUGGAUGGGUAGUGGCUUACCAAGGCCUGGAAGGGUAGCCGUCCUGAGAGGGUGACCGGCCACACUGGGACGGGGAUACGACACAGACUCGUACGGGAGGGAGCGGUGGGGAAGAGAGUACAAUGGGAGGAAGGCAGAUGCAGCAACGCCGCGUGGGGGAUGACAGCCAUCGGGUUGGAAAGCGCUUUCGCCUGUGACGAAGCGUUAGUGACGGUAAUGGGUAAAGAAGCACCGGCUAACUACGUG